GACAGAGGCCUCAAGCGUUAGGCGGAGUCACUGGGCUUAAAGCGUGUGUAGGCGGACGCCUAAGUGUCUUGUGAAAUCCCCCGGCUCACCCGGGGAACUGCUGGGCAUACUGGGCGUCUUGGGCCAACUAGGGGCAACUGGAACAAGCGGUGGAGCGGUGAAAUGCGUAGAUAUCAGGAGGAACACCUGCGGUGUAGACGGCUUACUGGACCAUAACUGACGCUGAGGCACGAAAGCGUGGGUAGCAAACAGG
Molecule: ribosomal RNA, 253 nt
Filed under: uncultured bacterium
Lineage: Bacteria
Description: partial 16S ribosomal RNA
Rfam family: Bacterial small subunit ribosomal RNA
Source: RNAcentral